Molecule: ribosomal RNA, 253 nt
Filed under: uncultured bacterium
Lineage: Bacteria
Description: partial 16S ribosomal RNA
Rfam family: Bacterial small subunit ribosomal RNA
Source: RNAcentral
GACGAGGGGUCCUAGCGUUGUUCGGAAUCACUGGGCGUAAAGCGUUUGUAGGCGGCUCUAUAAGUCGGGUGUGAAAUCCCACGGCUCAACCGUGGAAGUGCAUUCGAAACUGCAGAGCUUGAAUAUGGUAGAGGAGAGUAGAAUUCCUGGUGUAGUGGUGAAAUACGUAGAUAUCAGGAGGAAUACCGGUGGCGAAGGCGACUCUCUGGACCAAUAUUGACGCUGAGAAACGAAAGUGCGGGGAUCAAACAGG